This 1586-nucleotide ribosomal RNA is filed under the name human gut metagenome. RNAcentral's name for it is "bacterial LSU rRNA". It matches the Rfam family "Bacterial large subunit ribosomal RNA", at positions 377 to 1989 of the family's 2925-position model. The record is from RNAcentral.
AUCCGAAGCCAGAGCUGACCCGGCAGGAUCCAGAGUACCACGGGACACGGGAAACCCUGUGGGAACGAGCGGAGACCACUCCGUAAGGCUAAAUACUACUCAGUGACCGAUAGCGUAUAGUACUGUGAAGGAAAGGUGAAAAGAACCCCGGGAGGGGAGUGAAAGAGAACCUGAAACCCUGUGUCUACAAGCUGUGGAAGUGCUUCUUAUGCACGACCGCGUACUUUUUGUAGAACGGUCCGGCGAGCUGCGGGUACUGGCAAGGUUAAGCACUUCAGGUGCGGAGCCGCAGGGAAACCAAGUCUUAAGAGGGCGUUUUAGUCAGUACGUGCAGGCCCGAAACCGGGUGACCUAUCCAUGUCCAGGUUGAAGCCGCCGUAAAAGGCGAUGGAGGACCGAACCCACAUCCGUUGAAAAGGGUGGGGAUGAGGUGUGGAUAGCGGAGAAAUUCCAAUCGAACCCGGAGAUAGCUGGUUCUCCUCGAAAUAGCUUUAGGGCUAGCCUCAUACAAGUCUGCCGGAGGUAGAGCACUGAAUUUCCGCGGGGGCGUCAAAGCCUACCAAAGAAUAUCAAACUCCGAAUGCCGGACAGAUGGUGUAUGGGAGUCAGACUGUACGAGAUAAGUUGGACAGUCAAAAGGGAAAGAGCCCAGACCGCCAGCUAAGGUCCCAAAGUGCGUGUUAAGUGGAAAAGGAUGUGGGAUCUCUAAGACAACCAGGAUGUUGGCUCAGAAGCAGCCAUUCAUUAAAAGAGUGCGUAACAGCUCACUGGUCGAGAGGUCCUGCGCCGAAAAUGUCCGGGGCUGAAACACCACACCGAAGCCGCGGAACCCGUAAGGGUUGGUAGAGGAGCAUUCUUAGGGGAGUGAAGCAUUACCGGAAGGGGAUGUGGACUGCUAAGAAGAGAGAAUGCCGGAAUGAGUAGCGAGAGCAAGGUGGGAAUCCUUGCGGCCGAAUAUCCAAGGUUUCCAGAGUAAAGCUGAUCUGCUCUGGGUAAGUCGGGGCCUAAGGAGAGGCAGAGAUGCGUAUCCGAUGGACAGCAGGUUUAAGAUUCCUGCACCCCUUGUUAUCAGAACUGCGGGGACACGGGAAGGGAAGCAGAGCCGGGAAUGGAAAGCCCGGUGCAAGCGAAGUAGUCGCAGGGUUGGAAAAUCCGCCCUGCAUGAGACGAAGGCGUGAUGCGGAGCGAAAUGAAGUAGUGAAGCUGCGGCCCCUUCCUGUCGAGAAAAGCCGCUAUCGUGUAGCAAGGGCCCGUACCGUAAACCGACACAGGUGGAUGAGGAGAGGAUCCUAAGGCCGGCGGGAGAAGUGUUGUUAAGGAACUCGGCAAAAUGACUCCGUAACUUCGGGAGAAGGAGUGCUGCGCAAGCAGCCGCAGAGAAAUGGCCCAAGCAACUGUUUAGCAAAAACACAGGUCUAUGCGAAACCGUAAGGUGAGGUAUAUGGGCUGACGCCUGCCCGGUGCUGGAAGGUUAAGAGGAGAGGUUAGCGGUAACGCGAAGCUUUGAAUUUAAGCCCCAGUAAACGGCGGCCGUAACUAUAACGGUCCUAAGGUAGCGAAAUUCCUUGUCGGGUAAGUUCCGACCC